CUUCUUUGCUGACGAGUGGCGGACGGGUGAGUAAUGUCUGGGAAACUGCCUGAUGGAGGGGGAUAACUACUGGAAACGGUAGCUAAUACCGCAUAACGUCGCAAGACCAAAGAGGGGGACCUUCGGGCCUCUUGCCAUCGGAUGUGCCCAGAUGGGAUUAGCUAGUAGGUGGGGUAACGGCUCACCUAGGCGACGAUCCCUAGCUGGUCUGAGAGGAUGACCAGCCACACUGGAACUGAGACACGGUCCAGACUCCUACGGGAGGCAGCAGUGGGGAAUAUUGCACAAUGGGCGCAAGCCUGAUGCAGCCAUGCCGCGUGUAUGAAGAAGGCCUUCGGGUUGUAAAGUACUUUCAGCGGGGAGGAAGGGAGUAAAGUUAAUACCUUUGCUCAUUGACGUUACCCGCAGAAGAAGCACCGGCUAACUCCGUGCCAGCAGCCGCGGUAAUACGGAGGGUGCAAGCGUUAAUCGGAAUUACUGGGCGUAAAGCGCACGCAGGCGGUUUGUUAAGUCAGAUGUGAAAUCCCCCGG
RNAcentral lists this ribosomal RNA (531 nucleotides) under Escherichia coli. RNAcentral describes it as "bacterial SSU rRNA". It matches the Rfam family "Bacterial small subunit ribosomal RNA", at positions 80 to 607 of the family's 1533-position model. The record is from RNAcentral. Lineage: Bacteria; Pseudomonadati; Pseudomonadota; Gammaproteobacteria; Enterobacterales; Enterobacteriaceae.